UUCGCCCUUAGAGUUUGAUUCUGGCUCAGGACGAACGCUGGCGGCGUGCCUAAGACAUGCAAGUCGAACGGUUUUACAUUUCAGCUUGCUGAGAAGUAAGAUAGUGGCGGACGGGUGAGUAACGCGUGAGCAACCUGGCUCAGAGAGGGGAAUAACUCAGGGAAACCUGAGCUAAUACCGCAUAAAAUACGAAGAGCGCAUGCUUUUUGUAUCAAAGGAGAAAUCCGCUUUGAGAUGGGCUCGCGUCCGAUUAGAUAGUUGGUGGGGUAACGGCCCACCAAGUCAACGAUCGGUAGCCGGACUGAGAGGUUGAUCGGCCACAUUGGGACUGAGAACGGCCCAGACUCCUACGGGAGGCAGCAGUUAGGGAUAUUAGGCAAUGGGGGGAACCCUGACCUAGCAACGCCGCGUGAAGGAAGAAGGUUUUCGGGUUGUAAACUUCUUUGACGAGGGAAGAUAAUGACGGUACCUCGAAAACAAGCCACGGCUAACUACGUGCCAGCAGCCGCGGUAAUACGUAGGUGGCAAGCGUUGUCCGGAUUUACUGGGUGUAAAGGGCGUGUAGGCGGAGCAACAAGUCAGAUGUGAAAUCCGGGGGCUCAACCCCCGAACUGCAUUUGAAACUGUAGUUCUUGAGUGAUGGAGAGGUAAGCGGAAUUCCCGGUGUAGCGGUAAAAUGCGUAGAUAUCGGGAGGAACACCAGUGGCGAAGGCGGCUUACUGGACAUUAACUGACGCUGAGGCGCGAAAGUGUGGGGAGCAAACAGGAUUAGAUACCCUGGUAGUCCACACCGUAAACGAUGGAUACUAGGUGUGGGGGGACUGACCCCUUCCGUGCCGGAGUUAACACAAUAAGUAUCCCACCUGGGGAGUACGGUCGCAAGAUUAAAACUCAAAGGAAUUGACGGGGACCCGCACAAGCAGUGGAGUAUGUGGUUUAAUUCGAUGCAACGCGAAGAACCUUACCAAGGCUUGGCAUCCUACUGACGAAGUAGAGAUACAUUAGGUGCCCUUUUAGGGAAAGUAGAGACAGGUGGUGCAUGGUUGUCGUCAGCUCGUGUCGUGAGAUGUUGGGUUAAGUCCCGCAACGAGCGCAACCCCUGUGGUUAGUUGCUACGCAAGAGCACUCUAGCCAGACUGCCGUUGACAAAACGGAGGAAGGUGGGGACGACGUCAAAUCAUCAUGCCCUUUAUGUCUUGGGCUACACACGUACUACAAUGGCGAUUAACAGAGGGCAGCGAACCCGCGAGGGGGAGCGAAUCCCCAAAAGUCGCCCCAGUUCAGAUUGCAGGCUGCAACUCGCCUGCAUGUAGCCGGAAUUGCUAGUAAUCGCAGAUCAGAAUGCUGCGGUGGAUAAAUUCCCGGGUCUUGUACUCACCGCCCGUCA
Molecule: ribosomal RNA, 1387 nt
Filed under: uncultured bacterium
Lineage: Bacteria
Description: 16S ribosomal RNA
Rfam family: Bacterial small subunit ribosomal RNA
Source: RNAcentral